Molecule: long non-coding RNA, 846 nt
Organism: Onychostoma macrolepis
Lineage: Eukaryota; Metazoa; Chordata; Actinopteri; Cypriniformes; Cyprinidae
Exons: 4
Source: RefSeq, a predicted model, not a curated record
GGUACUAUGGCGAAGGCCUGCUCAUGAAUAAUAACUAUUUUAUACUGACGUUACAGGACAGUGAGAGUGGAGAUUGUCCCAGCUUCCACUCCCUUUGUCAUUUGACAUUCAUCUGAAGAUGUGGGUGAAUUGUCUUGAGAAUCUGUAUGCAAAGGGACCGAAAGCCUGAAAAAGUCUCAACGGUGGCGAUGUUCCAGUAAAUUAGCUCCAGGGAAACUCAGAAGGGAGCGGGCAAAGCCAGGCAUCAUUAGCAGAAAGCGUGUUUGGGGAGCACUGGUCUCUACUGAGAAUGAAGAGCCAGACGUGCUCCUUUAGGAGCCUGUGAGAUCUGUGUUUUUCUCUCACUGUGAUGGAAAGUGAUCAAGGCAACAGGUCCCAGGAGAGGUAACGUCUAGUGAUGGUCACAUCCUCGACAGGAUCACUCGCUGCUGAGGAGACAUGUUUAGGACGUGUGCUCUUAUUAAAAGUGUAACUGAAAACUGUGUUGUCUGAUGCCCAGUAUUUCUGGGUGUUUGAGCCAAUAGAGCCUGCGCCAGCUGUUUACAUAUGCAUAUCAAUAAUGCAGCAGAGGACACUAUGAAUAAUAACUUAAUUUUGAAAUUUUUGCUCUCUUUUUUUCUAGAUCUCUAGAGCAAGCAUCCAUAUGCAAUUUGAAAAAAAACUGCUAACCUUAAGUAUUAAAUUUGGCAUCUCAUGUUCUUGGCACAAACAUACUUUUUUGUAAUUGUUUUAUUUUAUUUUGUUUUGUUUUGUUUUAAUUUGUUAGUAGAGACCUUUUUUUUUUAAUCUAUGUAUGUAUGUAUUUAAGUUAUGGAUUUUCAUUUAUGGUGAACAAAUUUAGAGUGA